AAUAAACGGCCGCGAAAGUGCUAAGGUAGCAUAAUAAUUUGUCUUUUUACUGGAGACUAGUAUGAAUGAUAUAACGAAGCUUAACUGUCUCUUUAUAUUAAAUUAAACUUUAUGUAAAAGUGAAAAAUCUUUUAUUUUAUUGAAGGACGAAAAGACCCUAUAGAGUUUUAGUAUUAUAAUACUUUUGUUGGGGCAACACAAGAAUAAAAAAAAAUCUUGAUUAAAGUUAUAACCUCAAAGAGUGAAAAAAAUAAACUACCUUAGGGAUAACAGCGUAAUCUAAUCUAAGAGACCUAAUCGAAGAAUAGGUUUGCGACCUCGAUGUUGGACUAAGGUUAAAUUUAAUAUGCAGAAGUAUAAAUAAUGAGCCUGUUCGGCUUUUAAAACCUUACGUGAUCUGAGUUCAGACCGGUAUCAACAAUAGGGUU
This 428-nucleotide ribosomal RNA is filed under the name Celleporaria pigmentaria. RNAcentral's name for it is "partial large subunit ribosomal RNA". It matches the Rfam family "Bacterial large subunit ribosomal RNA", at positions 1922 to 2637 of the family's 2925-position model. The record is from RNAcentral. Lineage: Eukaryota; Metazoa; Bryozoa; Gymnolaemata; Cheilostomatida; Lepraliellidae.